RNA transcript from Pleuronectes platessa (European plaice), 4977 nucleotides. RefSeq lists it as uncharacterized. NCBI's taxonomy places the organism in Eukaryota, Metazoa, Chordata, Actinopteri, Pleuronectiformes, Pleuronectidae. The transcript has 6 exons. The record is from RefSeq and is a predicted model, not a curated record.
AAAUGGUAACUAGUAAUUGUUGAUCUCAUAAGAGUUUUCAAAUUAAACUGACUCAGAAAUAAGGCUUUGCAAUAUGCAAUCUAUAAAAUCUUGUCUGUCCAGCAAUUUUCUCUCAUUGUUGUCCUAACUACUAUUUUAAAUCAGCACAACAAGGAUUUGUAAAUUUUUGAGCAGAUUUUUGAGUUAAGUUGGGCCAACUCAGUAGAUUCCAGUUUAAACCGGUUUUAACGGCUCUCUGCUGAACCUGAGCUACAGACAUUUUCUGGAUGGACAACGACGUGGAGCCCACAACAAUUUUGCUCAAGAAGGUAUGAGGUGGAUUUCAUGCACUGUAAAUUUUGCAAAUUUGAAAGCUCCAGCCAAGAGACUCUUCUCAAGCAUUUGCGGCUUCAUCACGGACAAGGUGCACACUGGCCUUGCAUUCAUACAGACUGUGUUUGUGUAUUUAAAACACCUGGAGCGUUACGAUCACACAUCUCAAGAUCACACUCAACAGCGAAAUCCCAUGAAAAUUUUACAUUUCAGUGUGAAUUGUGUGAUUUUAAAGAAAUUUGCAGUGAAAAAAUUUUUUGGAACCAUCUCGGACAUCAUUUAAAGAAACGAGAAACUGUACAAUGUCCCUUUCUAAGGUGUACCUUUAAAACAAACACUCGCCCAACCUUCAGUUCUCACAAAAGUCGAAACCAUAAACAUUUUACACUUAAGGAUUUCCGAACAAUAGCAAGAACUGUUACUGAAGAUGAGAUAAUUGAUGAUGAACAAUCUGAUAGUGAAGCAGGGACAUCAGCUCAUAAUACUGUGAGACUAAAUGAGGUUGAAGAUAGUGUUGAGGAUGUAGAUAGUGAGACUCUUGAGCACAAAUUAGCUUCUCUCUUUUUGUCUAUGCAAACUGUGUUGCAUGUUUCUCGAGGUGCAACACAAAAGAUUGUAGAAGAUUUGCAUAAUCUGCUGUCUUUCUCUAACAUUCAAACUUUGAACAGUGUCAAAGAGAUCCUUUCAAAACAUAAAAUUGAAGUAAAUGAUUCUGUUUUGCAAGAAAUUUCUAGUGCUAUAGUUCAAACUAAUCCACUCAUUUUAACAACAUUAGAGAAAGGAUCCCUAUCUACAGAUCACCGAAGGAAUAUAUAUUUCAAAGAGCACUUUCCUGUUAUUGAACCCACAGAAUAUCUGUACAACGCAGCCCAUACAAACUCAUUUGUAUAUAUAUCAGUCACCAAAGUACUUGAAACUUUACUUGGAUGUUCAGAUUUUUUGGACAAAAUUGUAUUUGAUCAAAGAGAUUUAUCUGGUAACUUUAAGUCUUUUCAGGACGGCAAGUACUACAAGGAGAACAAGCUACUGGGACAACAAAACAUCUGUAUCAGUUUGGCAUUAUAUAUUGAUGAUUUUGAAGUUUGUAACCCACUGGGCACCUCUAGAAAAAUCCAUAAGAUUACUGCAGUAUAUUGGGUAGUUCUAAAUUUACCAGUCAGGUUUCGAUCGAGUCUCACUUCAAUUCAGGUAGCUCUCUUGGGUAAAAGUGUGGAUGUCAAACAAUAUGGUUAUGAAAAGUUUCUUGAGCCAUUGCUUAAAGACAUAAAGUGUCUAGAACAAGAGGGAAUUUUUGUUGAAGUUGUGGGUCAGUUUGUUAAAAGCACUGUAUAUUGUGUUUGUGCUGAUAACCUUGGUGCACAUGGUCUUGCAGGCUUUCAAGAAAGUUUUACUGUUGAAAAGUUCUGUCGGUUUUGUUUGAUAAGUCGGGACCAAAUUGCAACCACUGAAGUUAAUGAUUUCCAAUUGAGAAGUGUUGAGCAACAUAACUUGUUUCUGGAAGAGCUUAGGCAGAAGUGCGUUAAAAGUGUUAAUGGGGUUAAAAGUGAAUGUGUCCUGGGAAAACAUCUCCUGUUCUUUCACCCAAUAACUGGAUUUCCUCCAGAUGUUUUGCAUGACCUUUUUGAAGGAGUCAUCCCUGUGGAAUUGUCCUUAUGUUUGAAAAAUCUGAUCUCAAAAGGCUUUAUGAAAUUUGAUGCAUUAAAUGACUGCAUAAAAUCAUUUCCCUACAAGUAUUCAGACAAAGUAAACAAGCCUCAAAAAAUUCCAAAAGCAAGCUUUGAAAAAGGAACAAUUGGAGGUAAUGGGCAUGAAAAUUGGACACUGCUGCGCUUACUUCCUUUUAUAGUUGGACGUAAGAUACCAGAACAGGAGCCUGCCUGGGAAAUUUUGAUGGACCUCAAGGAAAUUGUUGACAUUGUUGUGUCAAACUGUCUCUCUGAGGAAGCAUUGUGUUAUUUAUCUUGUAAACUACUGGAUCAUCACAAGUUGCUCACCAGUACCUUUCCAGAGUUCAGACUGAGGCCAAAACACCACUUCAUUGACCACUACCCACAACUUAUUCGCUGCUAUGGACCUUUAGUGGAAUUGUGGACAAUGAGAUUCGAGGCAAAACAUAGCUUCUUUAAAAAGGUUGUCCAUGAGACUCACAACUGGAAAAAUGUGCUGCUCACUCUCUCCUCAAAACACCAGCAGAUGAUGGCAUACCAUCUGGACAGUGGGAACCUUUUCAAGCCAAAACUGUACGUUGAAAAUGUGAAAGUGGUCAGGGUUUCAGAUCUGGAUCCAUCAAUCAAGUGUGAAAUACUGAAGAAGUACCCACAUCUAGACAGUGUGUCUCUGUCUAAAACAAUUCACCUGCAUGGGACACAGUAUGCAGCGGGCAUGAUUUUAUCUGCUGGACAGUGCAGUGGCCUCCCGGAAUUCCAUAAGAUUGUGAGCAUUCUUGUCAUUGCAAAGGAUGUGGCAUUCAUUUGUAAAAGACUGUCUUCCUGGUACGUUGAACAUUUCAGGUCCUAUGAGCUUGAAUAUCACACCUGUGCAGACCUUCUUCUUCUGGAUCCAGAUGUGCUGACGGAUUACCACCCUCUAGCAGCAUACACAGUUGGUGGAAAGCUUAUGGUGACCCCAAGGAAGUUCCUUCUCCAUUAAAGCUAUUCAAAAUGACUUUGUUACUUCGGGUCGUUCUUUCUACCAGAGAAGCCCGGCGAAUCCAGCUUCCUGAAGUCCCAACAUCUGUGGGGCAAUUUAUUGAUAUACUGAAAGAGAGACUUGAACUUCAAGGUGAUUUCUCACUACAGUUUGAGGAUCCAGAGUUUGGAAAUGCACUCUGCAACUUAACAGAAAUGUCUGAAUUACCAGCUGAGCGUGCAGUCUUGCAUAUAAUGUGGAACAGUGAUUCAUGUCCACUUGACCAAUCCACUAGUUCAGUCUCCUCUCAGGACACACUCAGUGUUCACUCUGAAGAUUUUAGGCCUAGUUGGACUGAUUCUAUCCGGAGGAAUUUAAGGCAAGUCGCAGAGUGGCCAUCUCCAUUUCCUAUCCCUAAGUUUGCAUAUGAUGUGGAACUGAAAUUGUGUAAGGCCAAUGACACAUAUGAAAAGUCAAAGAAGGGCCUUGCAGUGACAAGAGACAUGAAAAUGGAGAUACUGGAUAAAAUUGCACAGGCAAUUUUUGAAAUCAAAAGCUACCCCGAGAAAGAUGAGCUUGAGUCAGUUGCCGCUGCGCUGGUUCAUAAGUAUCCAUGCUUGAAGGAGCCAAUUGGCAUCACAGGCUAUGAGGGAAGGAAAACAAGUAUCAAGUACAAACUUGGAAACUACAGAUCAAAGCUUCGCCAGGCAGGAUGCAAUGAGGUAAAUGUGAACAGGAAAAGAAAAGAGGGGGGUGAAGAUGACAGCCCGUUCACCCUGAAGAAGCCCAAACGUGGAGAGGUCAAUCAUGUGCCAGAUAAUCCACAACACCAUGAUGAUUCUACACUUGAAGAGGAAAGAGUUGCUCUGGUUGAUGAAAUGAAAAAGAAGAAAAGGAACAUGACAUUGAUACAGCAGAAGAUGGAGCUGACGUUUUCCCUCAGGCGGAGAGAAGUCGUGGAGCGUCAGCCUAUGGUAUCUGAGGUCCAAGAGAGGUGGCCUGCGCUGUUUUCGUCUCAGGAGAUAUCUGAAGAAUUUCGGCGUAUCACCAGCAAAGACCUCCUGGGGACUUUUAAUGCAUCCCUUGAAAGAUUUGGACCUGGCCUGCUAAAACUCUACCGGACUAAGAAGGGUGGUUUUGGCCAAGAAAUGGAAGACCUCCUUGAUAAACUCGAUGAUGAGACAUCUGACGUUGUUACACACCGAAAGACAGCAGCACUGAGAGGCUUGCCCAUUUUCCUCCGCGAAGAUACCAAAAGGUUUUUCAUGAAGUGCUUGGACACUGACAUUUUGGCACCAGUGCUGAAAGGGGCGUCUGUGGCCAUCCUCACCAUCCUAGAUGACGAAGCCGACAUCUCACAUGCUCGAGACCAUGCAGUUGUUUUGGAAGGGGGCAUCGUGCUGCAUGAAAUGGAAAACCUCUCCUCUGCGUUCGCCUACCUCUUUGGCCUUCUAUAUGCCCUCAAUAUAAAUUACCCCAAACAGUUGAGGUAUACAUUUGAAGCCAUCCAGACUAUCUUUUUUGAGCUUGGUGGCUCUCGGUGCUCCCAGCGCACAAGAUCUUUGAAAACGAAACUUUUAUUUUGAAUACACAUUUUGUAUGUGUUUAAAUAUACAUAUUGUUGUAUGUGUAUGUGUUUAAAUAUACACACUGUUGUAUGUGUAUGUGUUUAAAUAUACACAUUGUUGUAUGUGUAUGUGUUUAAAUAUACACAUUGUUGUAUGUGUAUGUGUUUGAAUACACAUACACAAUGUGUAUGUGUCUAAAUAUACACAUUGUUGUAUGUGUAUGUGUUUGAAUAUACACAUUGUGUAUGUGUAUGUGUAUGUGUUUGAAUACACAUUGUUGUAUGUGUAUGUGUUUGAAUAUACACAUUGUGUAUGUGUUUGAAUACACAUUGUUGUAUGUGUAUGCAAAAAUGGUUAGUCAUUCAAUUUGAUGUUGCGAACUAAUUUGAGAAGAAAGUUUUUUUACAAAGGCGCUUAACCCGCCUGUUCAAAAUAAAUAAAAAAAUAUAAAGAAAUAUUUCAGAUAACA